Aquila chrysaetos chrysaetos is the source of this 1522-nucleotide long non-coding RNA. RefSeq lists it as uncharacterized. NCBI's taxonomy places the organism in Eukaryota, Metazoa, Chordata, Aves, Accipitriformes, Accipitridae. The record is from RefSeq and is a predicted model, not a curated record. The transcript has 5 exons.
GAGGUGGUAUUUUUAGUGACUUGAUGGCUGUGUUAUCCAGCAUACUGACUUUCCAGAGUCAUCUCCAAGUUGCAAUGGACAACCUCUCUCCUUCUACCAGAGCCCAGAGAGGAAUAAACCAAGACCACCAGCUAAGACAUUAUGUAAUUGCCAUGGAUAUGAGCACUGAAUGCCCUCAGUGGCAAUGACUCAGGACCAAGUCAUCCCUUUACAAGAAUUACCUACAAAGGAAAUUGGAAACUCCAUGGCAUCUGUCUGUCAUCUUUCCCUCCAGCUGGUGCCUCUGAACCUCUUCUGAAGGAGCUUGUGCAAAGCAGAGCAUGGCAACAAGAAAUUUUCACAGCUCCAAUCCGUGAACAUACUAUCAAUUAAUACCAGAGACAGAAAUACUAUCACUGAAGCCAUGGAGGAAGCCCUGCAAUCUAGUCCCUGACCACUGAACUGCUGUGGUUUAAUUGUGUGAAACUGGGUUUCAAGAUUCAAGGUAUUGCUCAGAUUGUUCUGCAAUAAGUUCUUCAGAUUCAGCAGUGUCGACAGGAGGGAGCCCAUGAAUGUUGAUCUGACCCCAUCUCUGCAGCCAGCUGUGCCAUCACAUGAAAAAAGGAUUCUUUCUUCUGGAUCGCUCAUGGUUUUCCCAGCAGCCAGCCCUGUUGUACAGGUCAAAUCAGCAGUUGAUGCUACACAGAAAGACAAGACAACAAGACCUUGCUCAGGUGAAACAAACCUGAAAGUAGUGGUAACUGUGAUGAAUUUUAUUUGUACUGUCCAUUUGCAUGACAUCAUUGCAGAGAACUUCAUGCAACAGCUAGCAGAAAGCAUGUUCUAGAAGGAAUGCUACUGUUACCCCAGCACCAAAAGGGCAAUUGUGCCCUCAUUUCAGGAAGGCUGUGCUGUAAGGUCCACUCCUACCACUGCUUUUGCAUGAGAAAGCAGGAAAGCUUAUGCCUUGUUGUAAGGCCCUGGAAGGCUGCUCCUGCUAAUUAGUUUGGGGAAAUAGAAGGAGGCAUUUCAGAGAAACAUCACAUUUCUUGCACACAGUGCAGGUCAUCUUGCAGUUACAUUUGAGCUCCUAGGGUUGCAAAACAUCUCUAGUCUGGGAGACAGGGCUGCUGUCCCCAACAGAUUUUUUAAUUAUUUUUCUUUAUUUUAAAAUAAGUCCAGAGUGAGUGUUUUUCUUGACAAACUGUUGGCAGUUUUGUAACUUCAGACGUUAGGCAUGCUAGCACAAAUCCCGUACAUGUAUUUCUAAAUUAGAAUACAAAAUGACCAUAUCCUCUGAUCAUAAUUUAAAGAGUGAUUCAGAAUUCAGAAAUAAACCAAUCUUUCAGAGAGUUUCACUUAAUUUAGGAGCUUGUAAUGAACAGGAAUUUUUAAUAGCUCUGAAAUCUCCUUUCAAACCGAGCUCUAGCUAUAACCUAACAUUCUGACUAACUGGGUAUAGUUAAUAGUGCCAAGAGCUAGAAAUUCAAAUGCACAGUGCUCUUCUGUCCUCACAAUAAACUUGAAAUCUCUCUAUUUUGGA